RNAcentral lists this ribosomal RNA (292 nucleotides) under uncultured bacterium. Its description in RNAcentral is "partial 16S ribosomal RNA". It matches the Rfam family "Bacterial small subunit ribosomal RNA", at positions 505 to 796 of the family's 1533-position model. The record is from RNAcentral.
GUGUCAGCAGCCGCGGUAAUACGUAGGGGGCAAGCGUUGUUCGGAAUUACUGGGCGUAAAGGGCGCGUAGGCGGCAUGGCAAGUCGGGAGUGAAAGCCCGGGGCUCAACCCCGGAACGGCUUUCGAAACUGCCAAGCUAGAGUACGGAAGGGGCAACUGGAAUUCCCAGUGUAGCGGUGAAAUGCGUAGAUAUUGGGAAGAACACCGGAGGCGAAGGCGGGUUGCUGGGCCGAUACUGACGCUGAGGCGCGAAAGCCAGGGGAGCAAACGGGAUUAGAUACCCCCGUAGUCC